CUUCUUUGGUCACUACAGCAUAAAGCCUAACUAGCUUGUCAUGCUGAAGCGUCUUCAUGAGGUUGGCUUCCUCCAGAAAGGCUUGCACAGACAUCGUUCCAGGCUUCAAAGUCUUCACAGCCACUUUUGUACUAUUAUGAUAGUAACCCAUCCAGACUUCUCCAAACUGACCAGCUCCGAGCUUCUUCACUAAUUUAAUUGACUCUCGUGGAAUUUCCCAUGCAUCUUUAUCCC
Molecule: long non-coding RNA, 234 nt
Filed under: Gallus gallus (chicken)
Lineage: Eukaryota; Metazoa; Chordata; Aves; Galliformes; Phasianidae
Source: RNAcentral